RNAcentral lists this ribosomal RNA (165 nucleotides) under Cistanche salsa. RNAcentral describes it as "5.8S rRNA". It matches the Rfam family "5.8S ribosomal RNA". From Rfam's summary of the family: 5.8S ribosomal RNA (5.8S rRNA) is a component of the large subunit of the eukaryotic ribosome. It is transcribed by RNA polymerase I as part of the 45S precursor that also contains 18S and 28S rRNA. The record is from RNAcentral. Lineage: Eukaryota; Viridiplantae; Streptophyta; Magnoliopsida; Lamiales; Orobanchaceae.
AAACGACUCUCGGCAACGGAUAUCUCGGCUCUCGCAUCGAUGAAGAACGUAGCGAAAUGCGAUACUUGGUGUGAAUUGCAGAAUCCCGUGAACCAUCGAGUCUUUGAACGCAAGUUGCGCCCGAAGCCUUUUGGCCAAGGGCACGUCUGCCUGGGCGUCACGCAU